This 253-nucleotide ribosomal RNA is filed under the name Pseudocoprococcus catus. RNAcentral describes it as "Coprococcus catus partial 16S ribosomal RNA". It matches the Rfam family "Bacterial small subunit ribosomal RNA", at positions 524 to 776 of the family's 1533-position model. The record is from RNAcentral. Lineage: Bacteria; Bacillati; Bacillota; Clostridia; Lachnospirales; Lachnospiraceae.
UACGUAGGGGGCAAGCGUUAUCCGGAUUUACUGGGUGUAAAGGGAGCGUAGGCGGCCGAGCAAGUCAGAAGUGAAAGCCCGGGGCUCAACCCCGGGACGGCUUUUGAAACUGCCCUGCUUGAUUUCAGGAGAGGUAAGCGGAAUUCCUAGUGUAGCGGUGAAAUGCGUAGAUAUUAGGAGGAACACCAGUGGCGAAGGCGGCUUACUGGACUGACAAUGACGCUGAGGCUCGAAAGCGUGGGGAGCAAACAGG